Molecule: long non-coding RNA, 561 nt
Organism: Trichomycterus rosablanca
Lineage: Eukaryota; Metazoa; Chordata; Actinopteri; Siluriformes; Trichomycteridae
Exons: 4
Source: RefSeq, a predicted model, not a curated record
GAGCGAGCAGGUCUCGCAUCCGUCGCUGUACGCGCACGCACACACUUAGACACGCGCGCGGGAACCGAACACACCUGGGCACGUCAUGUGACGCGCUACCUGGGCGUGGAGAAUCACUGACUGUUAUGUGUCAGAUGCUUUUGUGUUGAGAGGGAAGCUGAAGCUGAAGCUCUCUCCGCUCUCUUUACACUGCGUAAUACUGCCAUUGGCGCCAUGCGUUUAAAAAGUAGGAUGUGAACUUUCUGCUUCAGCAUCGCGUUUGGGGAUCUAUUUCUCGUGUUGUCUUUUGGAAGAGGAGAACUGAGAUCAGGACGUGUUUGUGCCGCUACUACUGUUCGUUCCAAGCUCUCUGUCCAGCCAUUCAUUGUGGAUUUAGUUCAGGUUGGUAACAUAGCUGAGAUUCCAUCUAAAGAACUUGAGAUCUCAGCACUGGAAGGCUAGCGCAUUAGACCGCCCUCAAGUCUGCAUUGUCGACCAGAGGUGGGGAUACACUACGUGUAUCAGACAUAAGCGUAUGGCGUGAGCACAUGGGAGGUUCCAAGACUUACUUAAGGGGCUACG